AUGGCACCUCCUGUUUACUGGGGGGCUCAUCCUACUGAGGUGGGCUGGAGUAAUGCACUUGGGUGCCUGGGCUCUAACUUUGGGCCUCAACGAGAGCCAAGUACAAGGCCUCAUGGGCAUCUUCCUGGGCUCUCCUUCCAUGUCACCAUUCACAAGUUUCCAGGGCAGCAGAUGGAAAGCAAAGGACUGAAUUCAGCCACCAUAACCAGAUUCUGUCCCUCUGGGCUGUACCUGCAUCCUGAUGAAGCAGAGAGGAUACGCCUGCAGGUGUGUGCUUCAUAUCUCCAGGGCAGCUUCUGCAGCUCUGGCUCAUCGUCCCAUGGUCCCCACGGCAGGGCCAUUCAUCCACUGUGCUGGUCCCGGAUGGUCUCCACGGCACACGGACAAAAGUUCAGACGCAAUGGAACAUGCUGGGGAAAUCUCAGGUGAGGUGCCUGUGAAGCAGAUUAAAAACAAAUAUGCAGAAAUACAGCAGUUACAUUGGAGAAUAAUCAGUUUAGGCUGACCUUCAGAACUUCCUAACCAGCCGGGGUCAAAGACGAGGACGUUCUUUGCGAUCAGUGAACUAUCUUCCCUGCAAGGGACAAGAGUGUGCAGCACUACGUGACAGGUGUCCUUGGAGGAGUGUGCUCUGUCCCACCCGAUGAUAUUGAUCUUGGUAAAAGCGACAGCAACAUCGCCAGCAAGCUCACUGCAAUCCCCACACAGAAAGUCCCGGCGGCUGUUUCAAAGUGGAGGUCUUUGUUAAAACGUAUUCCUGGAAAACAAUGUUCUUUAUUUGCUUCUCAAGAUGGAUCGAAGUGAGCUAUGGAAA
Molecule: long non-coding RNA, 814 nt
Filed under: Vulpes vulpes (red fox)
Lineage: Eukaryota; Metazoa; Chordata; Mammalia; Carnivora; Canidae
Description: lncRNA (ENSVVUG00000004926.1)
Source: RNAcentral